This 497-nucleotide ribosomal RNA is filed under the name uncultured bacterium. RNAcentral describes it as "partial 16S ribosomal RNA". It matches the Rfam family "Bacterial small subunit ribosomal RNA", at positions 28 to 507 of the family's 1533-position model. The record is from RNAcentral.
GAUGAACGCUGGCGGCGUGCCUAAUACAUGCAAGUCGAGCGAACGUACUAGCAGCUUGCUUCUCUGAUGUUAGCUGCGGAAGGGUGAGUAACACGUGGAUAACCUACCUAUAAGACUGGGAUAACUUCGGGAAACCGGAGCUAAUACCUGAUAAUAUUUUGAACCGCAUGGUUCAAAAGUGAAAGACGGUCUUGCUGUCACUUAUAGAUGGAUCCGCGCUGCAUUAGCUAGUUGGUAAGGUAACGGCUUACCAAGGCAACGAUGAAUAGCCGACCUGAGAGGGGGAUCGGCCACCCUGGAACUGAGAAACGGUCCAGACUCCUACGGGAGGCAGCAGUAGGGAAUCUUCAGCAAUGGGCGAAAGCCUGAAGGAGCAACGCCGCGUGAGUGAGGAAGGUCUUCGGAUCGUAAAACUCUGUUAGUAGGGAAGAACAUAUGUGUAAGUAAAUGUGCACAUCUUGACGGUACCUAAUCAGAAAGCCAGGGAUAACUACGUG